CCAAAAUGCUGGGAUUACAGGCAUGAGCCUGGUCUCUGAAUUUUUCUUUCAAGUUUGAGUAUUAUGAUUCUUAUAUUAGACAUGCUACUUGUCAAAAAAUACAUGCACUUACAAGUAUACACCAUAGUUUCUGGCAUUGUAGCUCAAGAGUAAGAAUAGAAGUGUGAUAGCUGAUAUUUGAAUAUGCACUACAUUGUUAGGGACUGUGAUAAGACAUAGAUCCCUGAACAUUUAAGCCCACAACCCUCAGAGGGUGCAGUUAUUUACUGCCCUCCUAAGUGAGUGCCACCUCCACACAUACCUGGCUCAUUCAUUUCUCCUGUCAUAAAUUGAUAAUUUCAAUGUCCUCCAAUUAACCCAACACUUGGGCACUUAGUUCCUAGACUUCCUCACUUAGUUCCUAGACUUCCUCUGAUUGAAUGUCCUCAUCCUUCACUUCGGCCUUAGCCAUUUGGCUCCCAUGGUCAUAUUCUAGCCUCUUGUUAUCUCUAUAGAAAUGCCUCUUCCAGUUCUUUGCCCAUUUUUGAAUCAGGUUGGUUUUUGUUGAGUUUUAGGAGUUUUCUAUAUAUUCUGGGUAUUAAUCCUUUAUCAGAUAUGUGAUUUCCAAGUAUUUUAUGUUGGGUUGCCUUUUUACUGUUGAUAAUGUCCUUUGAUGCACAAGUUUUUAAUUAUGAAGUCCAAUUUGUCUACGUUGUUGUUGUUGUUCCCUGCUCACUCUUUUGGUUUUAUAACCAAGAAAUCACUGCCAAACCCAAUGCCAUGAGGCUUUCCUUUUUUUUCCCUUUAGAGACAGGGUCUCACUCUGUGGCCUAAGCUGGAGCACAGUGACGUGAUCAUGGCUCACUGCAGCCUUGAACUCCUAGGCUCAAGUGAUCCUCCCACCUCAGCCUCCUGUGUAGCUGGGACUACAGGUGUGUGCCAUUAAUUUAAAAAAAUUUUUUUAUAGAGAUGGGGUCUCACUAUGCUGCCCAGUCUAGUCUUGAACUCCUGGGCUCAAGCAAUCCUCCCACCUUGGCCUCCCAAAGUGCUGGGAUUACAGGUAUAAGCCACCACAUGCUCCUCUUGAGUUUUAUAGUUUUAGUUCUGAUGCUUAGGUCUUUGGCCCACUUUGAGUUUUGCAUAUGGUAUUAGGUAAGGGUCCAACUUCAUUCUUUUUGUAUGUGGCUCUCUAGUUUACCCAGAACCAUUUGUUGAUAAAACUGUCUUUUCCCCCACUGAAUGGUCUUGGCACCCCUGUUGCAUAUUAUUUGACCACACAUGCAAGGGUUUAUUUCUGGGAUCUGUAUUCUAUUCCAUUGGUCUAUAUGUCUGUCUUUUAUGCCAGUACUGCACUGCUUUGAUUAAUGUAGCUUUGUAAUAACCUGAAAUAAAAAAAUGUGAGCCCUAAAGCUUUAUUCUCAAGACUAUUUCGGAUAUUUGGGGAUCCCUUGAGGUUCUAUAUGAAUUUUAGGCUAUAUUUUCUAUUUCUGUAGGAGGAAAAAGUCAUUUGGAUUUUUACAGGGAUUGCACUGAAUUUGUAGGUCA
RNAcentral lists this long non-coding RNA (1524 nucleotides) under Homo sapiens (human). Its description in RNAcentral is "LHRI_LNC317.1". Lineage: Eukaryota; Metazoa; Chordata; Mammalia; Primates; Hominidae. The record is from RNAcentral.